AUUGAACGCUGGCGGCAUGCUUUACACAUGCAAGUCGAGCGGCAGCGCGGGGCAACCUGGCGGCGAGCGGCGAACGGGUGAGUAACACAUCGGAACGUAUCUUCAAGUGGGGGAUAACCUAUCGAAAGGUAGGCUAAUACCGCAUAAGCAAGGGAUUGGAAAGCGGGGGAUUCGCGAGGACCUCGCGCUUUUGGAGCGGCCGAUGUCGGAUUAGGUAGUUGGUGGGGUAAAGGCUCACCAAGCCUGCGAUCCGUAGCGGGUCUGAGAGGAUGAUCCGCCACACUGGGACUGAGACACGGCCCAGACUCCUACGGGAGGCAGCAGUGGGGAAUUUUGGACAAGUGGGGGCAACCCUGAUCCAGCCAUGCCGCGUGAGUGAAGAAGGCCUCGGUU
This 393-nucleotide ribosomal RNA is filed under the name uncultured bacterium. RNAcentral's name for it is "bacterial SSU rRNA". It matches the Rfam family "Bacterial small subunit ribosomal RNA", at positions 29 to 424 of the family's 1533-position model. The record is from RNAcentral.